UACGGAGGAUGCAAGCGUUAUCCGGAUUUAUUGGGUUUAAAGGGUGCGCAGGUUGUUUGAUAAGUCAGUGGUGAAAGUCUGUCGCUUAACGGUAGGAUUGCCAUUGAUACUGUUGGACUUGAAUAUGGAUGAGGUAGGCGGAAUGUGUAGUGUAGCGGUGAAAUGCAUAGAUAUUACACAGAACACCGAUUGCGAAGGCAGCUUACUAAUCCAUCAUUGACGCUGAGGCACGAAAGCGUGGGGAUCAGA
RNAcentral lists this ribosomal RNA (249 nucleotides) under uncultured prokaryote. RNAcentral describes it as "partial 16S ribosomal RNA". It matches the Rfam family "Bacterial small subunit ribosomal RNA", at positions 524 to 772 of the family's 1533-position model. The record is from RNAcentral.